RNAcentral lists this ribosomal RNA (51 nucleotides) under Zieria veronicea. RNAcentral's name for it is "partial 26S ribosomal RNA". Lineage: Eukaryota; Viridiplantae; Streptophyta; Magnoliopsida; Sapindales; Rutaceae. The record is from RNAcentral.
CGCGACCCCAGGUCAGGCGGGACUACCCGCAGAAUUUAAGCAUAUCAAUAA